Molecule: ribosomal RNA, 406 nt
Filed under: uncultured bacterium
Lineage: Bacteria
Description: partial 16S ribosomal RNA
Rfam family: Bacterial small subunit ribosomal RNA
Source: RNAcentral
AUUGAACGCUGGCGGCAGGCCUAACACAUGCAAGUCGAACGAGAGGCGGACGGGUGUGAAAUGUCUGGGGAACAGCCCGAUGGCGGGGGAUAUCUCUAGGAAAAGGUAGCUAAUAUACCAUACCCUCGCAUAUGCCCACAUGGGAUUAUCUUGUAGGUGUGGUAACGGCUCCCCAAGGCGCCGAUCUCCAGCUGGUCUGAGAGGAUGACCAGCCACACUGGAACUGGGACACGGUCCAGACUCCUACGGGAGGCAGCAGUGGGGAAUAUUGCACAAUGGGCGCAAGCCUGAUGCAGCCAUGCCGCGUGUAUGAAGAAGGCCUUCGGGUUGUAAAGUACUUUCAGCGGGGAGGCGUUACCCGCAGAAGAAGCACCGGCUAACUCCGUGCCAGCAGCCGCGGUAAUUC